RNAcentral lists this ribosomal RNA (1317 nucleotides) under Flavobacterium sp. SW70. RNAcentral describes it as "bacterial SSU rRNA". It matches the Rfam family "Bacterial small subunit ribosomal RNA". The record is from RNAcentral. Lineage: Bacteria; Pseudomonadati; Bacteroidota; Flavobacteriia; Flavobacteriales; Flavobacteriaceae.
GGUAUAUGUCUUCGGAUAUAGAGACCGGCGCACGGGUGCGUAACGCGUAUGCAAUCUACCUUUUACAGAGGGAUAGCCCAGAGAAAUUUGGAUUAAUACCUCAUAGUAUUAUUGAGUGGCAUCACUUAAUAAUUAAAGUCACAACGGUAAAAGAUGAGCAUGCGUCCCAUUAGCUAGUUGGUAAGGUAACGGCUUACCAAGGCAACGAUGGGUAGGGGUCCUGAGAGGGAGAUCCCCCACACUGGUACUGAGACACGGACCAGACUCCUACGGGAGGCAGCAGGAGGAAUAUUGGACAAUGGGCGCAAGCCUGAUCCAGCCACGUGCAGGAUGACGGUCCUAUGGAUUGCUUUUGUACGAGAAGAAACACUGCUUCGUGAAGCAGCUUGACGGUAUCGUAAGAAUAAGGAUCGGCUAACUCCGUGCCAGCAGCCGCGGUAAUACGGAGGAUCCAAGCGUUAUCCGGAAUCAUUGGGUUUAAAGGGUCCGUAGGCGGUUUAGUAAGUCAGUGGUGAAAGCCCAUCGCUCAACGGUGGAACGGCCAUUGAUACUGCUGAACUUGAAUUAUUAGGAAGUAACUAGAAUAUGUAGUGUAGCGGUGAAAUGCUUAGAGAUUACAUGGAAGCGAAGGCAGGUUACUACUAAUUGAUUACGCUGAAAGCGUGGGGAGCGAACAGGAUUAGAUACCUCCACGCCGUAAACGAUGGAUACUAGCUGUUGGGCGCAAGUUCAGUGGCUAAGCGAAAGUGAUAAGUAUCCCACCUGGGGAGUACGUUCGCAAGAAUGAAACUCAAAGGAAUUGACGGGGGCCCGCACAAGCGGUGGUGGUUUAAUUCGAUGAUACGCGAGGAACCUUACCAAGGCUUAAAUGUAGAUUGACCGGUUUGGAAACAGAUCUUUCGCAAGACAAUUUACAAGGUGCUGCAUGGUUGUCGUCAGCUCGUGCCGUGAGGUGUCAGGUUAAGUCCUAUAACGAGCGCAACCCCUGUUGUUGUUGCCAGCGAGUCAAGUCGGGAACUCUAACUGCCAGUGCAAACUGUGAGGAAGGUGGGGAUGACGUCAAAUCAUCACGGCCCUUACGCCUUGGGCUACACACGUGCUACAAUGGCCGGUACAGAGAGCAGCCACUGGGCGACCAGGAGCGAAUCUAUAAAACCGGUCACAGUUCGGAUCGGAGUCUGCAACUCGACUCCGUGAAGCUGGAAUCGCUAGUAAUCGGAUAUCAGCCAUCGGUGAAUACGUUCCCGGGCCUUGUACACACCGCCCGUCAAGCCAUGGAAGCUGGGGGUGCCUGAAGUCAAGGAGCUGCCUAGGGUA